RNAcentral lists this ribosomal RNA (839 nucleotides) under Enterococcus casseliflavus. RNAcentral describes it as "bacterial SSU rRNA". It matches the Rfam family "Bacterial small subunit ribosomal RNA", at positions 68 to 885 of the family's 1533-position model. Lineage: Bacteria; Bacillati; Bacillota; Bacilli; Lactobacillales; Enterococcaceae. The record is from RNAcentral.
UUUCACCGGGAGCUUGCUCCACCGAAAGAAAAAGAGUGGCGAACGGGUGAGUAACACGUGGGUAACCUGCCCAUCAGAAGGGGAUAACACUUGGAAACAGGUGCUAAUACCGUAUAACACUAUUUUCCGCAUGGAAGAAAGUUGAAAGGCGCUUUUGCGUCACUGAUGGAUGGACCCGCGGUGCAUUAGCUAGUUGGUGAGGUAACGGCUCACCAAGGCAACGAUGCAUAGCCGACCUGAGAGGGUGAUCGGCCACACUGGGACUGAGACACGGCCCAGACUCCUACGGGAGGCAGCAGUAGGGAAUCUUCGGCAAUGGACGAAAGUCUGACCGAGCAACGCCGCGUGAGUGAAGAAGGUUUUCGGAUCGUAAAACUCUGUUGUUAGAGAAGAACAAGGAUGAGAGUAAAAUGUUCAUCCCUUGACGGUAUCUAACCAGAAAGCCACGGCUAACUACGUGCCAGCAGCCGCGGUAAUACGUAGGUGGCAAGCGUUGUCCGGAUUUAUUGGGCGUAAAGCGAGCGCAGGCGGUUUCUUAAGUCUGAUGUGAAAGCCCCCGGCUCAACCGGGGAGGGUCAUUGGAAACUGGGAGACUUGAGUGCAGAAGAGGAGAGUGGAAUUCCAUGUGUAGCGGUGAAAUGCGUAGAUAUAUGGAGGAACACCAGUGGCGAAGGCGGCUCUCUGGUCUGUAACUGACGCUGAGGCUCGAAAGCGUGGGGAGCGAACAGGAUUAGAUACCCUGGUAGUCCACGCCGUAAACGAUGAGUGCUAAGUGUUGGAGGGUUUCCGCCCUUCAGUGCUGCAGCAAACGCAUUAAGCACUCCGCCUGGGGAGUACGA